GAUGAACGCUGGCGGCGUGCCUAAUACAUGCAAGUCGAGCGAACGGACGAGAAGCUUGCUUCUCUGAUGCUAGCGGCGGACGGGUGAGUAACACGUGGAUAACCUACCUAUAAGACUGGGAUGACUUCGGGAAACCGGAGCUAAUACCGGAUGAUAUUUUGAACCGCAUGGUUCAAAAGUGAAAGACGGUCUUGCUGUCACUUAUAGAUGGAUCCGCGCUGCAUUAGCUAGUUGGUAAGGUAACGGCUUACCAAGGCAACGAUGCAUAGCCGACCUGAGAGGGUGAUCUGCCACACUGGAACUGAGACACGGUCCAGACUCCUACGGGAGGCAGCAGUAGGGAAUCUUCCGCAAUGGGCGAAAGCCUGACGGAGCAACGCCGCGUGAGUGAUGAAGGUCUUCGGAUCGUAAAACUCUGUUAUUAGGGAAGAACAUAUGUGUAAGUAACUGUGCACAUCUUGACGGUACCUAAUCAGAAAGCCACGGCUAACUACGUG
RNAcentral lists this ribosomal RNA (497 nucleotides) under uncultured bacterium. RNAcentral describes it as "partial 16S ribosomal RNA". It matches the Rfam family "Bacterial small subunit ribosomal RNA", at positions 28 to 507 of the family's 1533-position model. The record is from RNAcentral.